AAUCAUUUUUUAUUUUUUUUUCUUUGCAGCCACAGCUGAUGUUUAUAGGAAUGAGGGUAACGAGGCCUUCAAGAAAGGAGAUUUCAUCAAUGCUAUUCAUUUUUACACCAAAGGAAUUAAAAUGAACUGCAAUGAGAAAGAACUGAAGGCCAAACUGCACAACAACAGGGCUAUUGCACAUUUUAAACUUGGAAAUCACCAGGAUUCACUAAGGGAUGCAGAAGCAGCCAUUGAGUUAAAUUCAACUUUCCUUAAGGCAAUUGUGAGAGGUUAGAUAUGUUAGCUGUGCUAUAAUAAUAAUAACAAAAUAACUCAACACUCUAAGGUUAAAUGAGGUUAAAUGGAGUUCAAUCUUGUCUCAAUUGACUUUAAUUAAGAGGUCGAGACCACCCUGAUGUA
Molecule: long non-coding RNA, 399 nt
Organism: Pocillopora damicornis (cauliflower coral)
Lineage: Eukaryota; Metazoa; Cnidaria; Anthozoa; Scleractinia; Pocilloporidae
Source: RefSeq, a predicted model, not a curated record